AGCGGUAAAAGCUCAAAUUUGAAAUCUGGUACUUUCAGUGCCCGAGUUGUAAUUUGUAGAAUUUGUCUUUGAUUAGGUCCUUGUCUAUGUUCCUUGGAACAGGACGUCAUAGAGGGUGAGAAUCCCGUUUGGCGAGGAUACCUUUUCUCUGUAAGACUUUUUCGAAGAGUCGAGUUGUUUGGGAAUGCAGCUCAAAGUGGGUGGUAAAUUCCAUCUAAAGCUAAAUAUUGGCGAGAGACCGAUAGCGAACAAGUACAGUGAUGGAAAGAUGAAAAGAACUUUGAAAAGAGAGUGAAAAAGUACGUGAAAUUGUUGAAAGGGAAGGGCAUUUGAUCAGACAUGGUGUUUUUUGCAUGCACUCGCCUCUCGUGGGCUUGGGCCUCUCAAAAAUUUCACUGGGCCAACAUCAAUUCUGGCAGCAGGAUAAAUCAUUAAGAAUGUAGCUACUUCGGUAGUGUUAUAGCUUUUUGGAAUACUGUUAGCCGGGAUUGAGGACUGCGCUUCGGCAAGGAUGUUGGCAUAAUGGUUAAAUGCCGCCCGUCUU
This 544-nucleotide ribosomal RNA is filed under the name Hanseniaspora uvarum. Its description in RNAcentral is "eukaryotic LSU rRNA". It matches the Rfam family "Eukaryotic large subunit ribosomal RNA", at positions 97 to 655 of the family's 3401-position model. Lineage: Eukaryota; Fungi; Ascomycota; Saccharomycetes; Saccharomycodales; Saccharomycodaceae. The record is from RNAcentral.